GCGGGUGUAAUUCAGUGGUAGAAUGUCACCUUCCCAAGGUGAACGCCGUCGGUUCGAAUCCGAUCACCCGCUCCA
This 75-nucleotide transfer RNA is filed under the name Candidatus Methylospira mobilis. RNAcentral describes it as "tRNA-Gly". It matches the Rfam family "tRNA". Rfam says of the family: Transfer RNA (tRNA) molecules are approximately 80 nucleotides in length. Lineage: Bacteria; Pseudomonadati; Pseudomonadota; Gammaproteobacteria; Methylococcales; Methylococcaceae. The record is from RNAcentral.